This 251-nucleotide ribosomal RNA is filed under the name uncultured bacterium. Its description in RNAcentral is "partial 16S ribosomal RNA". It matches the Rfam family "Bacterial small subunit ribosomal RNA", at positions 525 to 775 of the family's 1533-position model. The record is from RNAcentral.
ACGUAGGUGGCAAGCGUUGUCCGGAAUUACUGGGUGUAAAGGGAGCGCAGGCGGAAGGACAAGUUGGAAGUGAAACCCACGGGCUCAACCCGUGAACUGCUUUCAAAACUGUUUUUCUUGAGUGGUGUAGAGGUAGGCGGAAUUCCCGGUGUAGCGGUGGAAUGCGUAGAUAUCGGGAGGAACACCAGUGGCGAAGGCGGCCUACUGGGCACUAACUGACGCUGAGGCUCGAAAGCAUGGGUAGCAAACAG